Molecule: ribosomal RNA, 439 nt
Filed under: uncultured bacterium
Lineage: Bacteria
Description: partial 16S ribosomal RNA
Rfam family: Bacterial small subunit ribosomal RNA
Source: RNAcentral
CCUACGGGAGGCAGCAGUGGGGGAUAUUGCACAAUGGAGGAAACUCUGAUGCAGCGACGCCGCGUGAGGGAAGACGGUCUUCGGAUUGUAAACCUCUGUCUUUGGGGAAGAAAAUGACGGUACCCAAAGAGGAAGCCCCGGCUAACUACGUGCCAGCAGCCGCGGGAAUACGUAGGGCGCGAGGGUUGGCUGGAAUUACGGGGUGAAAAGGGAGCGUAGGCGGGCGAGAAAGUUGAAUGUUAAAUCUACGGGCUAAACUGGUAGCUGCGUUCAAAACUUCUUGUCUUGAGUGAAGUAGAGGCGGGCAGAAUUCCUGGUGUAGCGGUGAAAUGCGUAGAGAUUAGGAGGAACACCAGUGGCGAAGGCGGACUGCUGGGCUUUAACUGACGCUGAGGCUCGAAAGCGUGGGGAGCAAACAGGAUUAGAUACCCGGGUAGUC